RNAcentral lists this ribosomal RNA (253 nucleotides) under uncultured bacterium. RNAcentral describes it as "partial 16S ribosomal RNA". It matches the Rfam family "Bacterial small subunit ribosomal RNA", at positions 524 to 776 of the family's 1533-position model. The record is from RNAcentral.
UACGGGGGGGGCAAGCGUUGUUCGGAAUUACUGGGCGUAAAGGGUUCGUAGGUGGCCAACUAAGUCAGACGUGAAAUCCCCAGGCUCAACUUGGGAACUGCGUCUGAUACUGGAUGGCUUGAAUUCGGGAGAGGGAUGCAGAAUUCCAGGUGUAGCGGUGAAAUGCGUAGAUAUCUGGAGGAAUACCGGUGGCGAAGGCGGCAUCCUGGACCGAGAUUGACACUGAUGAGCGAAAGCCAGGGGAGCAAACGGG